This is a long non-coding RNA of Salvia splendens (bonfire salvia), 197 nucleotides long. RefSeq lists it as uncharacterized. The record is from RefSeq and is a predicted model, not a curated record. NCBI's taxonomy places the organism in Eukaryota, Viridiplantae, Streptophyta, Magnoliopsida, Lamiales, Lamiaceae. The transcript is spliced from 3 exons.
CUUCCACUCUACUCAAGAUCCUUUCGAAUAUCCAAGAGAUUAUUGAAGAAUCAAGACUUUUAUUCGUUCCUACCGUUUAUUUCGUCCAAGAGAGGUAAAAAUUCGUGCGUAAAGCGUGAUAUCAAAGGAAAAGCGAAACUUGAAAUCUAAAGGAUCGAGGUUGAGCGGCGACGAGCGGUUGGCGGUGUUGAGCAAAU